RNAcentral lists this ribosomal RNA (290 nucleotides) under Vibrio parahaemolyticus. RNAcentral describes it as "partial 23S ribosomal RNA". It matches the Rfam family "Bacterial large subunit ribosomal RNA", at positions 1 to 286 of the family's 2925-position model. Lineage: Bacteria; Pseudomonadati; Pseudomonadota; Gammaproteobacteria; Vibrionales; Vibrionaceae. The record is from RNAcentral.
GUUGUAUGGUUAAGUGACUAAGCGUACACGGUGGAUGCCUUGGCAGUCAGAGGCGAUGAAAGACGUAGUAACUUGCGAUAAGCCCAGAUUAGGUAGUAACAACCAUUUGAGUCUGGGAUUUCUGAAUGGGGAAACCCACUUACAUAAGUAAGUAUCAUUAACUGAAUACAUAGGUUAAUGAGGCGAACCGGGGGAACUGAAACAUCUAAGUACCCCGAGGAAAAGAAAUCAACCGAGAUUCCGAAAGUAGCGGCGAGCGAAAUUGGACUAGCCCUUAAGCUUUACACGCG